CCUACGGGUGGCAGCAGUGGGGAAUAUUGGGCAAUGGGCGCAAGCCUGACCCAGCAAUGCCGCGUGAAGGAAGAAGGCUUUCGGGUUGUAAACUUCUUUGACAGGGGAAGAGCAGAAGACGGUACCCUGAAAACAAGCCACGGCUAACUACGUGCCAGCAGCCGCGGUAAUACGUAGGUGGCAAGCGUUGUCCGGCUUGACUGGGUGUAAAGGGCGGGUAGCCGGGAAGGCAAGUCAGAUGUGAAAUCCGGAGGCUCAACCUCCGAAUUGCAUUUGAAACUGUUUUUGUUGAGUACUGGAGAGGCAGGUGGAAUUCCUGGUGUAGCGGUGAAAUGCAUAGAUAUCACGCAGAACUCCGAUUGCGAAGGCAGCAUACCGGCGCGCAACUGACGCUCAUGCACGAAAGCGUGGGUAGCGAACAGGAUUAGAUACCCGUGUAGUC
RNAcentral lists this ribosomal RNA (442 nucleotides) under uncultured bacterium. Its description in RNAcentral is "partial 16S ribosomal RNA". It matches the Rfam family "Bacterial small subunit ribosomal RNA", at positions 338 to 795 of the family's 1533-position model. The record is from RNAcentral.